This 450-nucleotide long non-coding RNA is filed under the name Homo sapiens (human). RNAcentral's name for it is "HSALNT0303796". The record is from RNAcentral. Lineage: Eukaryota; Metazoa; Chordata; Mammalia; Primates; Hominidae.
GGGAUGGCUCUAACGAAGAAGCAAAAAUGAUAAAGCAGAAUGUUCAAGGCACUAAGAGUCAGAUCUCCCAGCUCUUCUCCAAUUUUGCCUGUGACUAGUCAUCUGUCUUUGGGGCAUCUAACAUUCAUUAUCAAAGGAAAGUUGUGAUGGACUGUCAUUUCCCCAGAGAUCAUUUUUCUGGUUGAGGAUGAGGCAUGAAGUACCAGUGAAGAACUGUCGAAUUCUCCUUUGUGAGAUAUGUCUUGGGUAUUUUAGAUGUGAAGCAUUCCCACGUCUACUUGAGAAGCAACUUCCCAAUUACUAAUAAAACUUGCAGGGAUAUUGAUUGGGAUUUUGAGGAAUUUAUGUAUCUUCUUUACAAUAUUGAAUUCUUCAAUUCAUAAUCAUGUUACAAACUUCCAUUUACUGAAGACAUCUUCACAUUUUCUCAAUAGUGACAGAGCUUCCAGU